This 478-nucleotide ribosomal RNA is filed under the name uncultured bacterium. RNAcentral's name for it is "partial 16S ribosomal RNA". It matches the Rfam family "Bacterial small subunit ribosomal RNA", at positions 28 to 523 of the family's 1533-position model. The record is from RNAcentral.
GACGAACGCUGGCGGCGUGCUUAACACAUGCAAGUCGAACGGUAAGGCCCUUCGGGGUACACGAGUGGCGAACGGGUGAGUAACACGUGGGUGAUCUGCCCUGCACUUCGGGAUAAGCCUGGGAAACUGGGUCUAAUACCGGAUAGGACUCCGGACUGCAUGGUCUGGGGUGGAAAGCUUUUGCGGUGUGGGAUGGGCCCGCGGCCUAUCAGCUUGUUGGUGGGGUGAUGGCCUACCAAGGCGACGACGGGUAGCCGGUCUGAGAGGGUGACCGGCCCCACUGGGACUGAGAUACGGCCCAGACUCCUACGGGAGGCAGCAGUGGGGAAUAUUGCACAAUGGGCGCAAGCCUGAUGCAGCGACGCCGCGUGAGGGAUGACGGCCGUCGGGUUGUAAACCUCUUUCAGCACAGACGAAGCGCAAGUGACGGUAUGUGCAGAAGAAGGACCGGCCAACUACGUGCCAGCCGCCGCGGUAA